UUCAGUGCAGAGUUGGGCUAGAUAACCUUAAAAGGUCCCUUCAAGCUCAAACAGUUCUAUGAUCCUUUGUCAGAGGAUGCAGUGACAGGGGGUAACAGCCUUAAACUAAAAAGGGAGACUUAGAUUAGACAUUAGGAAGAAAUUCCUCACUAACGAGAGUAGUGUUUGAACAGAUGCUCUUUGUCCUUUAUUUUUUUUAAUAGAUUUAAUAUAUAGAUAGAUAUAUAAAUAGAUUUAAUAGUAAUGCACAUGGAGUUCUCUUCCCUCUGCUCAUUGGAAUUCAUCCAUAAAGCACAUUCUUCUGGAAGCUAGCUUGCACUCUUUAAAUGCCAGUCUGAGCUGUUCUGUAACACAAAGUCUAUAGGAUGAUUGCUUCCCAGUCACCUCUGCUUCAGCUGUGAGUGCUGGCCAUUCUGCCCCUUUCCUGGCUGCCUGCUGCUGCAGAUAACAGCAGGUAAUAGUUUGGCUUUGCUUGCAAUGAGGCAGCUUGCAGAUUUUGAUCGGAGUGGGGCAGCAAAUACUGCUGUUCUUGUGGUGUGGCAGCACCUGAAGUGGAUGAGGUGAAUGCAGUACAUAGCACGUGCUGCUUGCAGUGAAGGAGCUCAGGCCUGGAAAUGUUAGGUUCUGAUCGAUAGCACUGAACACUGCAGAUCUGAGGCCCUGUGAAGAUAUACAGGGGCUUACUGUCUUGGCUGGCAGAGCUUCUACCUCCAGGGUGAAGGGCUUCGAGGUUGAACUCUCCUUUCAUUGUGUUCUUCCAAGAUUGUCACAGAACCAGGAGAGUGCUGUGAGCUUCCCGAGAGCUGGGCUGACAUGCAGGAACCGCUGCUGGAGGGGAUGUGCUUCACUCUGAAGUAUCUAGGCAUGACACUGGUAGAGAAACCCAAAGGGGAGGACAUGGCAGCUGCUGCCAUCCGUCGGAUCGUCGCCACGGCACGGGUGGGAGCUCGCAAGUUCCAGAAGGUGAUUCUGACAGUGUCUCCAAGGGGCAUCUCACUGCAGGACGCCGACACGAAGGAGAUGGUUGAGAACAUCUCCAUCUACAGGAUCUCCUACUGCACAACAGACAAGCUGCAGAACAAAGUCUUUGCUUAUGUUGCUCAGAGCCAGGAGAGCGGGGCGCUGGAGUGCCAUGCCUUCCUGUCACCCAAGAAGAAGAUUGCCCAGGCCGUGACUCUGACGGUGGCCCAGGCCUUCCAAAUGGCACUGGAUCUCUGGGAAGCAGCAAAUGCAGGCUCUAGGCAGGAACAGCCCCUUCACCCUCCAUGUGUCUUGGAGCGCAGUGAGCCCAGCAGAGCAAGUGAGCCAGCUCCCCCGGGGAGCCCUCCCUUCAGACACCAGUUUGGGGAGCCUCUGAAUGCUUGCUUCUUGACUUCGUGCUUCCAGCAUUGGCCCAGUCUGGCAGUGGUUGGGGCCAUCGUUGCUUGCAGCGUGCUCCAGGUGGUUCUCUGCCUGGUCCUCCAGCUGGGACACGCUCACCCUGCUCCAGUCUCUAGGCAAAGGUGUGCUGUGUGCAGCAGCCAUCUCAGCUUGGUGGCUCAUCCCCAGUUCACGCCCUGUGUUUGGUGCUCUGCUGGCUUGGGGAAUGUGAGGAGAACCUUGGUCUGUCUCUUCCCUUGUGUGGCUGUGUCUGAGCUCCAAGGAUUUCAUCAGCCCAGUACUGCAGGUGCCAUUUUUCCCCUUCCUGCUUGUAGACGAGUCUUGUCCUUGUCAUGCCUGGUGGGUGACUGUCUUGUGAAGGUGCUGGGGACAGCCCUGCUGCCCCAGAAGAGGCUCUGGGCAUCCCAGUCUGGAUCCUGGUAGAGACCUACUUUUCUGUUUGUUUGCUUGCUUGCUUGCAAGGAGGAGGAAGAGGAGGAGGAAGAUGAAAACCUUGAUGAAACUUUAUCUGGGUAAGUGGUGAGCUGGUGCCUGUGUGUAAGGAGCACUCUCGUGAGCCCUGUCUUGAUUCCUUCUCCAUGUCCCAAGCAAGGGGUACUGCUGAAGCCACGAGUUUUGUGGGAGCUAGGAUGAAAUCUGUGGGGAAACUUCUGCUGUUUUCUCUGUCUCUGUCAGCUGAGGUUGGAUGUACAGGAAGCUAAGGUAUGGAGAGACAGAUUUUGCAGUUCAACUCUUGCAGUGCGGGGUUGAUACUUACCCUGAGGACUUGAGUACAAGAGAAAUCACUGGGUAUGUUUCUGCCACUCUUUGCUGAGGACAGCCUAUCCAGAUGUGCUUCCCAUGUUGAGCCCAGAGCUGGCCCUUUCCUUCCCCUGAUUUCUGUGGGCAUAGGCCAGGUUGGAUGCCCACUCACGCUGAUGGUGUGGACUAGGAGCUGGGACUGAGCUUGGGAGGAGGUCAGAAGUGGAGAAUUAACCCAUAGGUCUUUGCAGAAAUGCCUGUGGUGAUGGGUUUGCUGAGCCUGUUCCAUUAUGGCUGUUCUCAUGCACCUGUUAAGCCGGUGCCUGAGGGGUCCAGCAAUGUCAGCAGGCUGAGAGUGCUCUAAGUAGGUGUCACCCAGGGAUCAACGUGUGCAAAGUGUGAAGGUGUGUAUGUGUCCUUUUGAUGUGGCCACUUGUUCCUGGGGGAUUCCUGAUGGGAAGAGACAUGGCUUUGCAGCAUCAGGGCAGGAUGGCCUGGGGAAGGGGUUUGGUAGCAAGUAGGUUAGGGCCUUCUGCAGUCUGAGUGCCUAGUACUGCUGGGUCUGCACUGCCAGGGUCAUGAGCGUGGGUCUCUCAGCAGGUGCUUGCUUGGAGAUGAUGGGUGCUCUGUUCUCUUCCAAAGCUGCAUGGAGGAGCUGGGGAGGGGAGCCCAUGGACCAACAGAGUCGGCACCUCCUGUGCCCAGAACGAGCUCAUCUGCU
Tympanuchus pallidicinctus (lesser prairie-chicken) is the source of this 2842-nucleotide RNA transcript. It is a transcript of the gene named low density lipoprotein receptor adapter protein 1-like, with no coding region annotated. The transcript is spliced from 8 exons. The record is from RefSeq and is a predicted model, not a curated record. Lineage: Eukaryota; Metazoa; Chordata; Aves; Galliformes; Phasianidae.